AUGUACUGCUGCUGCCGUGCAGGCCGCCCGGACUUGGUGGUUGCCUUCUUCGGCCGCCUCCUCAGGUUGGGGCUGCGCUUGGACGUCAUCUCCUUAAACAAUCUCCUCAAGGGGCUUUGCCAGGCUAAGCGCUCAAAUGAGGCAUUGGAUCUGCUGCUCCACCGGAUGCCCGAGCUACACUGUGCGCCUGAUGUCUUCUCGUACAACAUAGUAAUCAACGGCUGCUUGAAAGAAGGUGAAGUAGACAAAGCGUGCAAUCUCUUCCAUGAGAUGCCCCAACUGGGAGUUCAACCUGAUGUGGUGACCUACACCUCAAUCAUGGACGCACUAAGCAAGUCCGGAGCAAUGGACAAGGCAGAAGUGCUCCUUCGGCAAAUGGUUGAUCAAGGAAUUGAACCCAAUAUCAGGACAUAUAGCUGUCUGAUCCAUGGAUAUUCUACUUUUGGUCAGUGGAAGGAGGCACUUAGGGUAUUCAAAGAAAUGGCAACUCUUGGUGUUGUACCAGACGUUGUCACGUUGAGCUCAUUAAUCGAUUCCCUUUGCAAGCACAGAAGGACAAAGGAAGCUAGAGAAAUUUUUGACUCUAUGGCUGCAAAGGGCCUGAAACCUAAUAUCGUCUCCUACUCUACUAUGCUUAAUGGGUAUGUCAAAGAAGGAUCCUUCGAGGAUAUGACUGAUCUCUUCAAUUCGAUGGUACGGAAUGGUAUUGUACCUAACCACCAUAUUUUCAACAUACAGAUCAAUGCAUAUGCUAAACGUGGACUGAUGGAUGAGGCUAUGCACAUGUUCGAAGUAAUGAGGCAACAAGGAGUAAACCCAAACGUAGUUGACUAUCUAGUAGUAAUGAAUUCACUCUGCAAAAUGGGUAGGAUGGAUGCUGCUCUGGACAAAUUUAAUCAGAUGGUCAAUCAAGGAGUUUCACCUAACAAAGCUGUUUACCAAUGCCUGGUUCUGGGUUCUUGCUCUCAUGGUCAUUUUGUGAAAGCCAAGGAAUUGAUUUCUGAAGCGGUUAAUAGAGGUCUGUGUUCUAACAGUGUGUUCUUCUAUCCUGUAAUAAACGACCUUUGCAAAGAAGGAAAGGUAGAAGGAAAGGUGAAGGAGGCUCAGGAUAUGUUUGACUUCAUUGUAGGUAUUGGUCAUCGGCCUGAUGUGAUUAUGUACACUUCACUGAUGGAUGGAUAUUGCCUUGUUGGCAAGGUGGAGGAAGCACUGAGAGUACUUGAUGCUAUGAAGUCUGCUGGCCUCCAACCUGAUGCUUUUACAUAUGGUAUACUUAUUAAUGGCUACUGUAAAAUUGGAAGGAUCGACGAGGGAUUGAGUCUUGUCAGGGAAAUUUCACUCAGUGGGGUUAAGCCCACGACUAUUAUGUACAACAUUAUACUUGAUGGGCUGUUUUGCUCUGGGAGAACAGUUCCUGCAAAGGAAAAAUUCCAUAAGAUGAAUGAAAGUGCCAUACCAGUGGGCGUUGGAACAUACAACAUAGUUCUUAGUGGACUUUGUAAAAAUAAUUGCACUGAUGAAGCAAUAGAGCUGUUCAAGAAAUUACGUGCUGUGAACGUGAAGAUUAAUGUCAUAACACUCACUACCAUGAUUUCUGCAAUGUUUUCACAAAAGAAUGGAUCCACGCUCGCCUUACAUCUUCUCUCUUCCUUUUGCCAUCUCAUUUUGUUUGCUCAACUAAACAUAUAG
Molecule: ribosomal RNA, 1689 nt
Filed under: Triticum aestivum (bread wheat)
Lineage: Eukaryota; Viridiplantae; Streptophyta; Magnoliopsida; Poales; Poaceae
Description: partial small subunit ribosomal RNA
Source: RNAcentral